AGAGUUUGAUCCUGGCUCAGGAUGAACGCUGGCGGCAUGCCUAAGACAUGCAAGUCGAACGAAGUAGUCCACUGAAGGAAGAGUACUUGUACGAAUUUGGAAGUGGGUAGCUACUUAGUGGCGCAAGGGUGAGUAACACGUGGGUGAUCUACCUUAGGGACUGGGAUAACAGUUGGAAACGAUUGCUAAUACCGGAUGAGAUAUAUACUGAUACGUUAGUAUAUAGUAAAAGUAGCUUUCGGGCUACACCUUAAGAUGAGCUUGCGGCGUAUUAGCUAGUUGGUGGGGUAAAGGCCUACCAAGGCAACGAUGCGUAGCCGACCUGAGAGGGUGAACGGCCACAUUGGGACUGAGACACGGCCCAAACUCCUACGGGAGACAGCAGUUAGGAAUAUUCGUCAAUGGGGGAAACCCUGAACGAGCAAUGCCGCGUGAAGGAAGACGGUCCUCUGGAUUGUAAACUUCUGUUGUAAGGGAAGAACGACCAUUAUAGGAAAUGAUAAUGGAGUGACGGUACCUUUCAAGAAAGCUCCGGCUAACUACGUGCCAGCAGCCGCGGUAAUACGUAGGGAGCGAGCGUUAUCCGGAAUUAUUGGGUGUAAAGCGUGUGUAGGCGGUGAUAUAAGUCUAAGGUUUAAGCCCGGAGCUCAACUCCGGAUCGCCUUAGAAACUGUAACACUUGAGUAUGGUAGAGGUAAACGGAAUUUCUAGUGUAGCGGUAAAAUGCGUAGAUAUUAGAAGGAACACCAGUGGCGAAGGCGGUUUACUGGGCCACCACUGACGCUGAGACACGAAAGCGUGGGGAGCAAAUAGGAUUAGAUACCCUAGUAGUCCACGCCGUAAACGAUGAGUACUAAGUGUCGGGCAACCGGUGCUGAAGUUAACACAUUAAGUACUCCACCUGAGUAGUACGGUCGCAAGGCUGAAACUCAAAGGAAUUGACGGGCACCCGCACAAGCGGUGGAGCAUGCUGUUUAAUUCGAAGAUACGCGAAGAACCUUACCUGGGCUUGACAUCGAUCUGAAAGCUAGUGGAAACACUAGCCCUUCCCUUCGGGGAACAGAGAAGACAGGUGGUGCAUGGUUGUCGUCAGCUCGUGUCGUGAGAUGUUGGGUUAAGUCCCGCAACGAGCGCAACCCUUAUCCUUAAUUGCUAACAUUAGGUUGAGAACCUUAAGGAGACUGCCGGUGACAAACCGGAGGAAGGUGGGGAUGACGUCAAAUCAUCAUGCCCCUUACGUCCAGGGCUACAGGCGUGCUAUAAUGGCUGGUAUAAAAAGAAGCGAACUCGUGAGGGGGAGCAAAACUCGAAAGCCAGUCUCAGUCCGGAUUGAAGUCUGCAACUCGACUUCAUGAAGCUAGAAUCGCUAGUAAUCCCAAAUCAGAAUGUUGGGGUGAAUACGUUCCCGGGUGUUGUACACACCGCCCGUCACGCCAUGGGAGUUGGUAAUACCCGAAGCUGGUAGCCUAACCGAUUUAUCGGAGGGGGCCAUCGAAGGUAGGAUCAGCGACUGGGGUGAAGUCGUAACAAGGUAACC
This 1537-nucleotide ribosomal RNA is filed under the name uncultured bacterium. RNAcentral describes it as "bacterial SSU rRNA". It matches the Rfam family "Bacterial small subunit ribosomal RNA". The record is from RNAcentral.